This 449-nucleotide ribosomal RNA is filed under the name uncultured bacterium. Its description in RNAcentral is "bacterial SSU rRNA". It matches the Rfam family "Bacterial small subunit ribosomal RNA", at positions 335 to 800 of the family's 1533-position model. The record is from RNAcentral.
ACUCCUACGGGAGGCAGCAGUGGGAAGUCUUGGACAAUGGGCGCAAGCCUGAUCCAGCCAUGCCGCGUGAGUGAUGAAGGCCCUAGGGUCGUAAAGCUCUUUCGCCAGGGAUGAUAAUGACAGUACCUGGUAAAGAAACCCCGGCUAACUCCGUGCCAGCAGCCGCGGUAAUACGGAGGGGGUUAGCGUUGUUCGGAAUUACUGGGGCGUAAAGCGCGCGUAGGCGGACUAUUAAGUCAGAGGUGAAAUCCCGGGGCUCAACCCCGGAACUGCCUUUGAUACUGGUAGUCUUGAGUUCGAGAGAGGUGAGUGGAAUUCCGAGUGUAGAGGUGAAAUUCGUAGAUAUUCGGAGGAACACCAGUGGCGAAGGCGGCUCACUGGCUCGAUACUGACGCUGAGGUGCGAAAGUGUGGGGAGCAAACAGGAUUAGAUACCCUGGUAGCACAGAG